RNAcentral lists this ribosomal RNA (383 nucleotides) under uncultured eukaryote. RNAcentral describes it as "partial 18S ribosomal RNA". It matches the Rfam family "Eukaryotic small subunit ribosomal RNA", at positions 592 to 976 of the family's 1831-position model. The record is from RNAcentral.
CAUUAGCGUAUAUUAAAGUUGUUGCAGUUAAAAAGCUCGUAGUUGGAUUUCUGGUGGGAGCGAUCGGUCUGGCGCUUAGCGCGAGUACUUGCAUCGUCUCCGGCCAUCCUUGGGGAAAGUCUGUCUGGCAUUAAGUUGUCGGGCAGAGGAUCCUCAUCGUUUACUGUGAAAAAAUUAGAGUGUUCAAAGCAGGCUUAUGCCGUUGAAUAUAUUAGCAUGGAAUAAUAAGAUAGGACUUUGGUACUAUUUUGUUGGUUUGCGCACCAAAGUAAUGAUUAAUAGGGACAGUUGGGGGUAUUCGUAUUCCGUUGUCAGAGGUGAAAUUCUUGGAUUUACGGAAGACGAACUACUGCGAAAGCAUUUACCAAGGAUGUUUUCAUUAA